Molecule: ribosomal RNA, 106 nt
Filed under: uncultured bacterium
Lineage: Bacteria
Description: partial 16S ribosomal RNA
Rfam family: Bacterial small subunit ribosomal RNA
Source: RNAcentral
CCUUGUACACACCGCCCGUCAAGCCACGAAAGUGGGGGGGGCCCGAAGUCGCUGAGCUAACCCGAAAGGGAGGCAGGCGCCGAAGGUCAACUCCGCGAUUGGGACU